Long non-coding RNA from Clupea harengus (Atlantic herring), 872 nucleotides. RefSeq lists it as uncharacterized. The transcript is spliced from 3 exons. The record is from RefSeq and is a predicted model, not a curated record. Lineage: Eukaryota; Metazoa; Chordata; Actinopteri; Clupeiformes; Clupeidae.
AUGGGUUUGCUGGAUUUUAAAAAAUGGUGCAAGGUAUUUUCUAUCAAGCUGGCUACCUGUCAGAAGUGAUAUGUUCCUCUGACUGUUUUGUAUCCUGUUCUGUAUAACAGAAGGUUUUUUUUUUUUUACAAACCAUCAUCUCUCAGACGCUUUUACUGUUUCUCAAAAUGUUGAUUUCAGCUUCAACUCGUUACUAGCUGACUAGGCUAACCCACUUACCGGUUGUGGAUAGCUACUUAGCUAGAUAGUGCAGUCCUCCAACGUCCUCAGAGAGUAAACACAGUUUUGGUCAUCGGGUCAUAAACGAACAAGAAAUCAAAGGGUAUUGUAUCACAGAGAGGCUUGUUAUGCAUCUCUGAACGUGUGUGUGCGUUUGUUUAUUUAGUUAAAUAAUUCUAUAGAAACUAAACGAAUUAGAUAUGUGCUCUCGGUGACCUAAACUAUUGGCCUGUUAACUAUGUGACCUUUUUGCUGCUCUGUUGCAGACACACACCUUUCUUGUAACUGUAUCUGAAAGGUGAGGGGCACUUAUCCAUCCAUUACAGUAGUGCCGAUUCCUCUGAGCAAAUUAGCACUCACACUAACCCAGCGGAUACAAUUCUGAAAUAGGGUGCACUUACAAUGUUAUUGUACUUAUAACUUUAUAUAGACAAUUUUUAUGCACUGUUGACUCCAUGUCAUUGCACAAAAACAUAUACAGGUCUUCAGAAUCCCUCGGAAUGGAGCUGGGAACAAUCAACUAAGUUCUAUACUUUCUGCAGCAGAUGGCAGUGUUGGCAAAAAUGCGGGAGCGUCUUACCACGCAUGGGAAGUACUCUAAAGGAAGGGAAGAUAUGUACCAGUGAGGGAGCUGUCGCGUGGGCCAUGCUCCC